UUAGUGGCAGACGGGUGAGUAAUGCAUAGGAAUCUACCUAGUAGUAUGGGAUAGCCACUAGAAAUGGUGGGUAAUACUGUAUAAUCCCUGCGGGGGAAAGAUUUAUCGCUAUUAGAUGAGCCUAUGUUAGAUUAGCUAGUUGGUAGGGUAAAGGCCUACCAAGGCGGUGAUCUAUAGCUGGUCUGAGAGGAUGAUCAGCCACACUGGAACUGAGAUACGGUCCAGACUCCUACGGGAGGCAGCAGUGGGGAAUAUUGGACAAUGGGCGCAAGCCUGAUCCAGCUAUGCCGCGUGAGUGAAGAAGGCCUUCGGGUUGUAAAACUC
This 324-nucleotide ribosomal RNA is filed under the name Anaplasma platys. RNAcentral's name for it is "bacterial SSU rRNA". It matches the Rfam family "Bacterial small subunit ribosomal RNA", at positions 92 to 433 of the family's 1533-position model. Lineage: Bacteria; Pseudomonadati; Pseudomonadota; Alphaproteobacteria; Rickettsiales; Anaplasmataceae. The record is from RNAcentral.